Oncorhynchus tshawytscha (Chinook salmon) is the source of this 1672-nucleotide long non-coding RNA. RefSeq lists it as uncharacterized. The transcript has 5 exons. NCBI's taxonomy places the organism in Eukaryota, Metazoa, Chordata, Actinopteri, Salmoniformes, Salmonidae. The record is from RefSeq and is a predicted model, not a curated record.
AAUAUUAGUGUGUAGUUCAAGCUGUACUGACGCUACAGAUAGAAGUUGGCAGAUCGGCUAUACCAACUUCAGAUGCUUGUGGGGGGUCAUAGAGCAAAACGGAGUACACCAUAGUGUUUGUAAAAGUCUCAUCUUUCCAUAGAGGGGUCAUAAUAGUAGGCCAACCCGCUCUUCUCACGAAAUUGCUUGUCUCAAUCCACCACAUCCACCAACGUCUCACUUCUGCAUCUGCGGUGAAAAGUGACAGAGCUCGAGCGAUGUUUGUCAGUACUGACCGUGCUUUUGAACCUGUCCGGAACACCUGGAGCUACGCCGCCCCUUACAGAGAGCAGACUGGGGCUGACCCUGACUGGGUCAUCACGGAAGCCAGCUCUGGAGGAAGUGCUGCAGCUAUGGCCUCUCUCACCAGCUUCAUCUCUUUGUGGUCAGAUACAGGUGGCUCCACCCGUAACCCAGGGGCCCUGUGUGACAUAGUGGCCCUGAAGCCAACCUACGGCCUGGUGUCCAGACACGGCCUCAUCCGCCUGGUCAACUCGAUGGAGGUCCCAGGCAUCGGGAGUGUUCUCGGGAGUGUUCAUGACUCAGCCACCGUCCUGGGUCAGGCAUGUUAUAUGGCCAUCCCAUGGGGCCAGUAUUUUUUUCCUGACCAGGUAUUCUCCAAGGCCAUGAUGUCAGACUCUACUACCAUAACCCUUCCACACUGACAGACCUACCGGGUGACUUUGAUGUCAGGAACAUCUGUGUGGGCAUUUCCAAGAAGCCACCGUAGUGACCAUGUAUGCCACCAGGGAUUUAACAAUGUUAUACAAGGAAGAAUCCUCUCGGAACUACUUCCUGCUCAGACAGAAUUAUGAGCACUACUUUGUGAUGACCCAUCAGGUGCGUUGUCUGAUAGCAGAGGACUUCAAGCAAGUGUCCAGCUCGGGUGUUGACGUGCUGCUCACGCCCACCACACUGAGUGACGCCAUGCGCAACACGGACUUCAUGCAGGAAGACAACCCCACACGUAGUGCCCAGGAGGACAUCUUCACACGGCAACAUGGCAGGAAAUAAUAUGUUCAUCAUUUAACCCUCCCUUUUCAAAGGAAUUGGGUUGGAAUUCCUAUUUCGGUCAACCCUUUGAUUACAAAUCCAAAUGAAGGUCUAUCUGAAACAAAUCAUCUCCAUCAGGGAAGCUGAUAACUUUGCGGGCAGUUAAAGUUUAACCCAUCUUUUAUCCCCCUCACAGUCUGGCCUUCAAACAACCUUACCCUGCCAACCCCUCUCCCUCUCGACUUUCUCACAUUUACCCCUCCAACUCUCUCAUUUUCUGCUCCAGGACUCCUUGCUGUUUCUGUGACAACAGCGCUAUCGAGCAUACCUUCCCAUUGGCCUGCAGCUAAUAGGCCCCACCCUCCAGGACAGGACACUGCUGACAGUAGCCCAGUGGAUAGAGCAGAAGGUGGGCUUUACCCCUAUCCAUUACCAUGGAGAUGCCGUACAGGGGGAGCAAGGUGCAGAAGUCCAUAAGCGAGAGCAGACCUCAGUUGUAUGAGGUGAAACUAAUGAAUACAGAGCUACUCAGAUGAGUGACAUUAUCAUGGUCAUGAAAAGGACAUACUCAAAGAUCUAUGGCCUUUUCUGGAUUUGUUCUGAAGUUACUGACUUCCAUUAAAGACACUUUAUUACUUGC